This 100-nucleotide ribosomal RNA is filed under the name Schistidium crassipilum. Its description in RNAcentral is "partial 5.8S ribosomal RNA". It matches the Rfam family "5.8S ribosomal RNA", at positions 55 to 154 of the family's 154-position model. From Rfam's summary of the family: 5.8S ribosomal RNA (5.8S rRNA) is a component of the large subunit of the eukaryotic ribosome. RNAcentral also lists the same sequence under 2 other names. Lineage: Eukaryota; Viridiplantae; Streptophyta; Bryopsida; Grimmiales; Grimmiaceae. The record is from RNAcentral.
GCGAUACGUAGUGUGAAUUGCAGAAUUCCGCGAAUCAUCGAGUCUUUGAACGCAAGUUGCGCCCGAGGCUUGCCCUCGGGCAUUUCUGUCAGAGCGUCAC